ACCCCUUCUAUACCGACGAUAGUCUUAGAAACUCACAUAUUUGGGAGAAAAUGGACUGUUUCCCGAUUCUUGAAAUCCCGAAAGAAAUUUAAGCUUUUGUGGUUGAACGUGUGGUCGGUAACUCCUUCAGAGAUCUCUAUAGCCUUAGAGCAUCGUGAAAGUCGAUGAAAACAUUACUACUGAGUUAUUUAAAUGACAUGGCUAAGUUAUGCUUACAAAACAUGACUAUGCAAAGAAGUAGUAGAAUCAAAGUAUGUCCAUACCAACCCCAGAAACCACCAUAUUCCUCAAACACCACACCACACCUCACUCAUACAUCCGUCUCCUUUUCUCUCAGAUUCCGUCUUCAUUCCUUCAAAAUCUUUCUUCAACCGAGCAACGUUAAUUCUCAGCUCCGACAUGUAUUUGUUCAUGUCACUUAUCAAUGACUUCAUAUCUUCAAUCUCUU
Molecule: long non-coding RNA, 448 nt
Filed under: Brassica napus (rape)
Lineage: Eukaryota; Viridiplantae; Streptophyta; Magnoliopsida; Brassicales; Brassicaceae
Description: long non-coding RNA (BNAP_LNC009449)
Source: RNAcentral